CCUACGGUUCGGCGGGUUCGCACAUCAGUCUCUAUGGCUCGUUUCAGGGGUGGCGCGCUAGCGUGCACCGCGCGAAAAAGGUGGAGCCGAAACCUUACCUCCCCCACCCAAUCGCCUCGCAUCCACCUCCUCCCCAAUCCCCUCUCGUUCUCUGGCAUGGCAGCGGUGGCGGCGUCGAGCAUGCGCCUGCGCGACGGAGCCGAGCGCGCGCCUGAAGACAGCGGCUGCUGGCGAGCGCCGCGCCUGGGCGACGGCGGCGACUGCGGUGGCGAGCGCGCGCCUGGAGAUGGCGGCGGCGAAGGCGCGCCUGGCGACGACGGCAGCGCCUCUCCUCCAAUCCCCGCCGUGUGUGGAUCCCCAUCCCCGUCGCCACGCAUCUCUCCUCCUUCCACGCCGCCGCGCGCCUCUCCUCCUCCACCCUAGCCGGCCCCCAAUUUCCUCACGCGCCUCCUCAGCCCAUGGCUCUUCUCCUCCAAUCCCUCUCCCUCUACUGCACAUCAAGGUCAAGCUGCCGCCACCACCACUCACCGUCGAGCCAGCGUGACGGACGGGGGCACGGGAGCCGCCGCAAAAUUCAGGAGCUCCAGAUCCCGCAUCCCCAUCCCCUCCUCUUCUCUCACGUAUCUCCCUCCUCCCUUUCUUCGCGCUGCUAGCUCCGUCCUCCUCCAUCCUCAACAUUGCCGGGAGCAGUGGUGGCCGCCGAUUGGAACAGCAGCACCAGCUGUUCACGGGCAGAGCGGGCCAGAGCACGGCCGACCAGCAGUAGGGAUCAAAGUGCGGACGACGGCGGAGCACAUGUGGGUUGGCAGCCUGCUUGUCCCAGCCUUAUCUUCAUUGAAAACCUGCAGGUCCAAACGAGAUUGCGGGGAGAUGAGGUAGACGUAGACGCCAGAAAUUUUCCUCCGGAAGCCAUGAAGAACUCGGUUUAGUUUGGCUCUGGGCGGUUUCCCUUUCAUUCUUGCAAGGGAUGUACAUUCAGGUUAAUCACACACUGAUCUAAGAUGGCAGGAGGUGGCUUUUACAUAGGAAAGCAUCAGUUUCGUUGACUGGACACAAGUUUUGAACAGUAUCAUCAAGAGAUGGGCGAGGAGAUCGUGCUUCUGCAUGGGUUGGAUGACUGACGCCAACACUUCUUCAGCCCAAAAAAAAGAAGAGAAGGUUCUCCUCCAUAUUUGGGAGCGAGAAAGAAGGUGCCGGCUAAUUCAGUUAUGUGAAGUUGCAUUACAUAGCUGACAUUAAGCAGUGCUUCAUUAGUGCCUCACUGGUGUUCCGCGACAUAUGCUUAAAAGUGAAGCAUGGUCUGCAAUCAGAUUGAUGUGCUCUCCUUCUUGGCUGGUAGUUUUUCUCAUUGGUUGUAUACGAAGACACAUACAGAUUGCCAGUCAACAAUAUUGGAAAGCGAGGAUGAUACAGUCACGACAGGGAUUUGGGACAACUAAAUUGUGAAGAAACCUGCAGACAUUGCUAAUUAAUGGAGCGAAAUUGGCAGUGCAUAUAUUUGGGGAAGCUAACUAUUCACGUAUCUGCCACAAGUGUGACUGCUACCAUCCGAGUGAGUUCCAUGGUCGCCUCCUACCAUCCGAGAAAAUUUGCAAAUCGAGUAUUUUGCAUGGAUAGCUGCUCGGAUGGCUUGGCGAUGCCACGUCUAUGGUUCAAGUUCUGUGAAGACUGUGAUGCAUGGGGUCACCCCUCCUUACGCUGUAUCCACCAAGGAGCAAUUCUGGUUAUUGUCUUAUGGCAUUCGUGACCUUUCCACCUUUGAAGUCAUGGUGCGAGCUCACCCAUUGAUAAAACAACGGGUUUGAUAGUUCAAUGCAAUCACAUGCAUUCCGUGUUGGGUUUCACUCGCCAUUUCCAAUAGGAACACAUUUGGUGAGCCAAGUGAACCACACCUGCUUGUGAUUGAGGCAUGAGAGGCACUCAGGAAAUCUGUAGUGUAUUUUCAUUGCCAACCAGUUGGUACAGUUGUUGCGGUAGAUCAUGCAUAUGAGGAAGUGCUCAAUAAUGAUCAGGUUUUUGUCAGCGAUUUUGUUCCCACUGCGUUGGCUUUUCCGAUGAACAAAGAGCCCGGGAUAGUGAAGAACUUCCUAUUGAAAACUCUUCACUUGCAAAGCUCACAUUAAAUGGUGCUUGUGCUGAAUAGUGUUCCCACUCUUCUUCAACUUCAAGGAUUCCCCAAUGAUAGGCACGCACAACCCCAAUGAUAGGCACGCACAAAAUUUUGUUUCGGUGCUGGAUAUCGCAGAGAGAUAUCAGUUGGACUUGCCUAGGUAAUCAUCAGUCCCACAAGAUUUCACUAUUUGUGAUGUUAUUUAGCAAAAUAAUGUAGCUUUUUUACACUCUGGCCUCAUGUUAUAGGGCCGGAACCAAAUAUAUCGCACCGCCUCUCACCCUGCCAGCUUAAAAUGGUCGAUAUUGUUAUCACUAAAUAAGGCAUCCCUCCUUAGGUCUUACUUAAUGCAAAUGGAAUACAUAAGUAGAUCAUCAGCUCGACAAACUAGCCCGGCAACGGUGCAAAAAAAAUGAAUUUGGACUGUGGUUAGCUAAUAUAUUUGUCAUAGAUCUGCGAUAUUGAACUUAUCUGAAACAUUUAUUUUGUGGACAAAUUGUAGUGACGACUGGGAUUAAUGAAAUAUGACGCUGAGAAAACAAAGAUAUAUAUUUUUUCAAUAAAUCCAGUUCACACAUGUGUAUUGAACUUGUAUGUGUGCUGAGGUCUUUUCUAUGACAAUGAUAAUUCUCACAUUUCUUUAUGCUAAUUAGUGCAUGGUGUUUUUCUUCCUUCUUCGAUCAUGCAUCCGUAUAUGUAUUUCAAUCACACUAAGUUCAAUUGUUUCUUGAUUACUUGGACUCGGCCCCUAUUUUUAACUCACCUCGAACUGUCUUUGUGGCUGUAUAGUUUCUCCUGCGAGUUGUCACGAUGUGCAGAUCUGCAUCCCAGCUUAGGAGAGCUUCCACAGUUGGCAGUUGUAGGCUGAAUCUUGUGCCAAAUUCAGAAGAUGCAUAGGCUGAAUCGAUCGAUUACACUUGUGAGUUUCAUUGCAUCUCUCUAUCAGGCGCGGACACCCAUCCACGAAAGCUCGGGAGGAUGGACAGAGCAAGAGGAAGAAAACCUACAACACAAUUUUCCAAGAGCGGCGAAUUUUGGUGUUGCGAGUUGUGCAGGUGAAUGAUCUUUCUAUGUUGUUUGUGUACGCCGGAGUCUGAAGAUUAUGUUGAUUCCUUUCAUUGUUAUCCUGUAAAUAUGACCUAAGUGUCUGUUGCGGCGGAGUUUCUAUGCACCUUAUGUGGAUGGAGCUUCUACUAUUGCGCCAUGCUCGAUUUAUGUGUUUGCCGUUUUGAUCCGUCUUGCUGUAGACAAAGACUUUUUCUAAAAUUAAUC
Molecule: non-coding RNA, 3382 nt
Organism: Lolium perenne
Lineage: Eukaryota; Viridiplantae; Streptophyta; Magnoliopsida; Poales; Poaceae
Source: RefSeq, a predicted model, not a curated record